RNAcentral lists this ribosomal RNA (428 nucleotides) under uncultured prokaryote. RNAcentral's name for it is "bacterial SSU rRNA". It matches the Rfam family "Bacterial small subunit ribosomal RNA", at positions 355 to 774 of the family's 1533-position model. The record is from RNAcentral.
UGAGGAAUCUUGCGCAAUGGGGGAAACCCUGACGCAGCAACGCCGCGUGAGUGAGGAAGGUUUUCGGACCGUAAAGCUCUGUCGAGCGGGAAGAAGUGCAUGGUGGCUAAUAUCCAUCAUGCUUGACGGUACCGCUAGAGGAAGCACCGGCUAACUCCGUGCCAGCAGCCGCGGUAAUACGGGGGGUGCAAGCGUUGUUCGGAAUUAUUGGGCGUAAAGAGCGUGUAGGCGGCUGAAUAAGUCAGAUGUGAAAUCCCCGGGCUUAACCUUGGAAGUGCAUUUGAAACUAGUCAGCUGGAGUAAGGGAGAGGAAAGUGGAAUUCCUGGUGUAGAGGUGAAAUUCGUAGAUAUCUGGAGGAACACCGGCGGCGAAGGCGACUUUCUGGCCCUAUACUGACGCUGAGACGCGAGAGCGUGGGUAGCAAACA